CUUACAUGGACUCUUGCACCCAGCAGGCCUUCAUGAGAAAUUACAUUUAGGUUAAUGACAUCACAAUGACAGGGAAUGACAUCAUAAUGACAGGGAAUGACAUCAUAAUGACAGGGAAUGACAUCACAAUGACAGGUUGGCAUAUUGUAUUGUGUGUCUAUUUACCGGAGCGUUGUUCUAUUUCUGUUCUUUGGAUUUUAUACAGGAGGAGCCGGCAGCUGAUUUAACUUUGUAUAAAGUGGAUCCGAGCACAUUGUUUAUCUUUUUUUCAUGGUAUACAGAGACGAUGAAAAACACUUGCGUCUGAGUCCCAGAUGGCUGAGUGCUGGUCUGAACUGGCACACUAUAUAGGGGAUAAGGUGUCUUUUGGGACGCUUUUCAAGACGUUAAAUAUUACACAGUCUGAGACUGUAUCGGUUAGCAAUAUACAUUGAGUGGACAAAACAUUAAGAACACCGGCUCUUUCCAUAACAGACUGACCAGGAGGAAAGCUAUAAUCCCUUAUUGUUAAAUCCACUUCAAAUCAGUGUAGAUGAAGGGGAGGAGACAGGUUAAAGAAGGAUUUUGAAGCCUUGAGACAUGGAUUGUGUCUGGGCAAGACAAAAGACUUGAGUGCCUUUAAAGGGGUAUGGUAGAAGGUGUCAGGCGCAUCGGUUUGUGUCAAGAACUGCAACUUUGUUGGGUUUUUCACACUCAACAGUUUCCCAUGUGUAUCAAGAAUGGUCCACCACGUAAAGGACAUCCAGCCAACUUGACACAACUGUGGGAAGCAUUGGAGUCUACAUGGGCCAGCAUGUCUGUGGAAUGCUUUCGACACCUUGUAGAGUCCAUGCCUAGGGCAAAAGGGGGGUGGGUGCAACUCAAUAUUAGGAAGGUGUUCCUUUGGUAUAGUAUGUUGCUUCAGAAGGUUGAGAAAUGUUCCACUCCAUGUGUCCAGGUUUCCACUUCCUACCCUGUCCUGCUUGUAAACAGCUCUGUAGUUCACACCUGUUUGGAAUCCUAGUCUUUCUGUCCCCAAGGGACAGUUCCCUUCGCUGUUCUGGAACCUUCACCCCUCUGUUGUUCUGGAACCUUCACCCCUCUGUUCUGGAACCUUCACCCCUCUGUUCUGGAACCUUCACCCCUCCUCUGUUGUUCUGGAACCUUCACCCCUCCUCUGUUGUUCUGGAACCUUCAGUGUGAACUCUAGAACUUCCCCCUGUGGAGCGAGGCUGUGGGUGUAUCCCAAAUAGACUAUAUAGUGCACUACUUUUGACCAGGCCCCAUUAGUUCAUUAGGGCCCUUGUCAAAAGUAAUGCACUCCAUAGUGAAUAGGGUGUAAUUGUGGUGUGGUAACAUCCUGGCUGUAUGAGGCACUGGGUUACAGAGGCCUGGUUGGCCCAGGCUGGGACAAAGAGAGGGAGUGUGGUGCAUCCUGGCUGUAUGAGGCAUUGGGUUACAGAGGCCUGGUUGGCCCAGGCUGGGACAAAGAGAGGGAGUGUGGUGCAUCCUGGCUGUAUGAGGCACUGGGUUACAGAGGCCUGGUUGGCCCAGGCUGGGACAAAGAGAGGAAGCGAGGUGCAUCCUCCUCAGUGAAAGUUGUGAUUGAUACACCCAGAAUACCGGACGUCAACUACCCAUGACUCAACAGGCAGUCAGUGAACACACACAGAGAGAGAGAGAGAGAGGCCGGGAUUCAAUGCAAGACUCGUUAUAACGCUUGCACACUACAUCAGACUUUUAAAGAUCAUUACAAAAGGACUUUUGCAUUGUAAUUUUAGGACAUUUACAUAAUAUAUCUGCUG
Long non-coding RNA from Oncorhynchus tshawytscha (Chinook salmon), 1784 nucleotides. Lineage: Eukaryota; Metazoa; Chordata; Actinopteri; Salmoniformes; Salmonidae. The record is from Ensembl.